UGCACACCCCACCAAAACGUGGCAAAGCUUCGGGUAGCAUCGGAUAAUCUCCGUUUGUGAUUUCCUGAAUUAUCUACGCUAUAUCCAGAGGGGACUCGUCAAAAGUUCCGUACACGAUAUUUACUGGGAGAUCGUACGCUUAAGAAAGGAGAUGUCUCUUGCUCGGCUGGGCCUCACUCUAGCAUCUUGAAUAUUCUAUUCUGUACCAAAUUUAGCCAAAGACAGAGUAUUUAUCAUUAUUCUCAAAUUAAGUUAUAUAUAUAUGUAAAUCUGUAAUAUUUCAGAUUGUUUAUUUUAGUGUUGUUCAUAA
This is a long non-coding RNA of Cimex lectularius (bed bug), 310 nucleotides long. RefSeq lists it as uncharacterized. Lineage: Eukaryota; Metazoa; Arthropoda; Insecta; Hemiptera; Cimicidae. The record is from RefSeq and is a predicted model, not a curated record. The transcript is spliced from 3 exons.